AGGACUCGGUGGAACUGGUUUGGGCUGGAAAAGCCAUGCUUCAGUGGUCACAAAGGACUUUCAACCUAACUUUUAAAUCACUGGAGGGAAUUGUCUGAUUUUUGAGUAUGUUUGUAUUUGGAGUAUGCUGAUGUGAAUGUGAUGUAUACUUUUAAAGUUAUGAAUAUUGUGUAAAACUGUGUAUUUUCUUGCCUGUAAUAAUUACGUUAGCCCAUUGUGUUC
Molecule: non-coding RNA, 222 nt
Organism: Pelobates cultripes (western spadefoot toad)
Lineage: Eukaryota; Metazoa; Chordata; Amphibia; Anura; Pelobatidae
Source: the annotation of a GenBank genome assembly